CUAGUACGAGAGGACCGGAGUGGACGAACCGCUAGUGUACCUGUUGUGUGGUCGCAUGCAUCGCAGGGUAGCUAUGUUCGGAAGUGAUAAGCCGCUGAACGCAUCUAAGCGCGAAGCACGCUCCAAGAUAAGUAUUCCCUAUGAGCCUCCCGGAAGACGACCGGGUAGAUAGGCGGCAGGUGUACGCAUGGUGACAUGUUUAGCCGAGCCGUACUAAUUAGGCCAUUGGCUUUG
RNAcentral lists this ribosomal RNA (234 nucleotides) under Thalassiosira antarctica. RNAcentral's name for it is "partial Bacterial large subunit ribosomal RNA". It matches the Rfam family "Bacterial large subunit ribosomal RNA", at positions 2678 to 2925 of the family's 2925-position model. Lineage: Eukaryota; Bacillariophyta; Thalassiosirophyceae; Thalassiosirales; Thalassiosiraceae. The record is from RNAcentral.